Unclassified non-coding RNA from Chelonoidis abingdonii (Abingdon island giant tortoise), 179 nucleotides. NCBI's taxonomy places the organism in Eukaryota, Metazoa, Chordata, Testudines, Testudinidae. The record is from Ensembl.
UUGGCAGUUCUGGAGAAUGAAAUCUUAUUCUGUAACAGAACAGGUACAGCAAAGGCAGCAGCAGUGAAAGCUUCCUUACACUGCCCUGCCAAUGUGCCCCCUCAACCAUACCCUGGAGAAAUCACCUCUGUGGAUGAACAAUAGCCGAGUCUCCGUGGCUUGUUUACACCUUGCUUGCA